Molecule: ribosomal RNA, 465 nt
Filed under: uncultured bacterium
Lineage: Bacteria
Description: partial 16S ribosomal RNA
Rfam family: Bacterial small subunit ribosomal RNA
Source: RNAcentral
GACGAACGCUGGCGGCGUGCUUAACACAUGCAAGUCGAACGGAAAGGCCCCUUUGGGGGUACUCGAGUGGCGAACGGGUGAGUAACACGUGAGUAACCUGCCCUUGACUUCGGGAUAACUUCAGGAAACUGGGGCUAAUACCGGAUAGGAAUCCUUGCUGCAUGGUGGGGGUUGGAAAGCUUCGGCGGUUUUGGAUGGACUCGCGGCUUAUCAGCUUGUUGGUGGGGUAGUGGCUUACCAAGGCUUUGACGGGUAGCCGGCCUGAGAGGGCGACCGGCCACAUUGGGGCUGGGGUACGGCCCAGGCUCCUACGGGGGGCAACCGUGGGGAAUAUUGCACAAUGGGCGGGAGGCUGAUGCAGCAACGCCGCGUGCGGGAUGACGGCCUUCCGGUUGUAAACCGCUUUCAGCAGGGGCGGAGCUUGUGGUGACGGUACCUGCAGAAGAAGCACCGGCUAACUACGUG